AGGGACCUGGAUUCUUAGUAUUUCAGGCUGCUGUCCCUUUUUUUUUUUCAUUUCCUUUUUGUUUUUGUUGUUGAUGUGACCGCGUGUCCACAACCCUGGGAUUCCCUCGCCCUCAGAUUCCAGAAUCCAAUUUCUUGGAUUUCAGUGUUUUUAAGUCUAAGGCCUCAGCUCAGCUCUGAUAGGAGCUACUGGAAGCAAGUGACUUCGCAGAGGACCUAAACUGUAAGAAGUUCGCAUUGAAAGCUGGAGCCAAGGUCGGUUUCGUGGGUGUGCAUCAGGCAUAGACAGGGCCUCGUGCUCAGAAGAGCUCUGUUCAAAAGGGUCCUGCACUGGGGGGCUAAUGUUCUAUGACACUGUCUUAGAAUUCUUUUCUGUUUUUUUGAGGUGGGAGGUCUCGCUAUGCUUCCCAGGCUGGACUCAAAUUCCUGGGCUCAAGUGAUUCCCCCGCCUCAGCCUCCUGAGUAGCUGGGACUACAGAUAUGGCAUGUCAGUCUGGUGGUCUAGCCAGAGGAAGACUCCUGGAGCUGGUGAACUGUGCAUGGAUAUGCAGUCACGGGCAGCCCACCUCCUACUCCUCACCCUCCCUGUGCCUGUGAGGGUCUGCACUCACCCUGUAAGUAUCCCUGUGCCCAAGGAAGCAUAGCAUCAAACAGUAAAUAAGAAACACCAAGAGAGGGCAAGACAGAGACCACAGAAGAAAGGAAAAGUUUGUAGUUUAGUGCCUCUAAUGGCACUUUUUUCCCUACCCAUCUUUUCUUUUCUUCUUUUUUUUUUUCAGGGUCUUGCUUUAUUGCCCAGGCUGGAGUACAGUGGCGCAAUCACGGCUCACUGCAGCCUCAACCUCUUGGGCCCGAGCAAUCUUCCCACCUUGGUCUCCUAAAGUGCUGGGAUAACAGGCAUGAGCCACCACAUCUGGCUGAGGCCCCACAUUUUCAUUUUGUGCUGAGACUUGUAAAUUAGGUAGCUGGUCCUGGCUGUAGCAGAUGGUAUAGAUUCUUUUUCUGGCUCUGUUUUUGUGACAUCUCAACUUACUGGGCUCUUAUUAAAGGUGAUUUAGGUGACUUAUCAACUUUUCAUGAGUACAGAUGAAGAACUCUUCUAGGGCAGGGGUCCCCAACCCUUGGGCCACAGACCAGUACUGGCCUAUUAGGAGCCAGGCCGCACAGCAGGAGGUGAGUGGCAGGCAAGCAAAUCAAGCUUCAUCUGUAUUUACAGCCACUCCCCAUCACUAGCAUUAUUGCCUGAGCUUGGCCUCCUGUCAGAUCAGUGGCGACCUUGAUUGUCAUAGGAGCGUGAACCCUCUAGUGAACUGCGCAUGGCAGAGAUCUAGGUUGCACUCUCCUUGUGAGAAUCUAAUGCUUGAUGAUCUGUCACUGUCUCCCAUCACUCCGAGAUGGGAUCGCCUAGUUGCAAGAAAACAAGUUCAAGGCUCUCACUGAUUUUGCCUUAUGGUGAGUUGUAUAAUUAUUUCAUUAUAUAUUACAAAGUAAUAAUAAUAGAAAUAAAGUGCACAAUAAAUGUAAUGUACUUGAAUCAUCCCUAAACUAUCCCCUGCCGCCCUAGUCUGUGGAAAAAUGGUCUUUCAUGAAACUGGUCCCUGUUGCCUAAAAGGUUGGGACUGCUGCUCUAGAAGGUAUGGGAUUGGGAGGUGGGGGUCACACAGAUAGCCACUGACAACCUGAGAAUAGUGACAUGGGCCUGUAAAAACAGAUCAAUAGGUAUCUGUGGAAGGUAUUGAUGAAUACAUGAAUGAAUGAAUGAAACAACAAACUAAGAAAAAUGGCAUGGCAUGCAUGAAUGUGUGAUGGGCUCAAAAUAUGAUCCUCAUAGGGAUAUUUGCCUUAGAAAAAGGAGGCAAAGGCUAAGCUGGAAAAAUCUGUGGCAAUUGAGAGCCCUUGGGGGCUCUGGGUAUGGGUGGGAGGAAUCUAAAGUCUCUCUGUAGAGACUGGUCUUGGGCCAUCCAAUCUUCUCUGCCCGCUACAGCUAAGCCUUUUUCUGCCCACUACAGCUUCCCACAUGCUGCUUCAAUGUUGAUAUCUUGAAGAGGUUCCAGCCUGGCAUGGUGGCUCACACCUGUAAUCCCAGCACUCUGGGAGUUCAAGGUGGGAGGAUUGCUUGAGCCCAGGAGUUCAAGAACAGCCUAGGCAACCUAGUGAGACCACAUCUCUACAAAAAAUUUAAAAAUUAGCUCAACGUGGUGGUGUGUGUCCAUAGUCCCAGCUACUCAGGAGACUGAGAUAGGAGGAUCACUGGAGCCCACAGGCUACAGUGAGCAAUGAUUGUGCCACUGCACUCUAGCCUGGGUGACAGAGCAAGACAUUGUCGCCCAGAAAAAACAAAAAGAGAAAAUAGAAGAGGUUCUUACUGUACAAUAGGACUUUUUUUUUUCUUUUUUGGAGUCAGAGUCUUGCUUUGUCACCCAGGCUGGAGUGCAAUCGCACGAUCUCAGCUCACUGCAGCCUCCGCCUCCUGGGUUCAAGCGAUUCUUCUGCCUCAGCAUCCUGAGUAGUUGGGGUUACAGGCAUGGGCCAGCACGCCCGGCUAAUUUUUAUAUUUUUAGUAGAUGGGGUUUCACCAUAUUGGCCAGGCUGGUCUUGAACUCCUGAUCUCAAGUGAUCUACCUGCCUCGGCCUCCCAAAGUGAUAGGAUCACAGGCGUGAGCCACCUCACCCAGCCACAAUAAGAGCUUUUUAAUGAGAAGAAGACACAAGUCUUGAUUGAGAAUUUCUCUUCCUGAGAGGAAGUACCAGCAUGUUAUGGACCUUAGCUGAUUUGUCUUUAAAAAUCUCAAGCUGUAAUAAUUCCCAGUUGCUCAGUGCACAGUGAAUGAGGCUGAUAUUUAAACAGAACGCCUCAAAGGCACCCGCUGUGUCCACACUUUCUCCCUGCCUGUCCUAUGCCUCUCCAGGUGAUGUCCAUCUUCUCCUUGAAGCCCUCUCUGGCUGCUCCAGUCCCUGAGCUUUCCUUCCUGCACUCAUACAGCAUGAGGAAGGCUCCAUCUUUUUCUAGAUGUGCUAUUUUUUUUAGCAUUUGCUGUGUGCACUUUAGAGGCUCAUUGCCUCUUUGAGACCAAGGAUGGCACUGUCCCUUCUCUCUAGUUGCUCUGAGUGCCAAGCACAGCCCUGAACACCAAAUACUUUGACUCUUCUGUGGCUACUCAACCCUCCUGGCUGUUCCUUCAUCACCCUGGACCGGCCCCCACUCCAGGGUCUUUGCACUUGCUCUCCCUCUGCUUAGAAAGCCCUUCUCCCUGCAAUCUGCAGGGGCUUGAUUACUCUUCUCUUUCAGGCCUUUGCUCAAAUGUCACCUCAUCAAUGCACCCUUCUCUGACCAUCCUAUUGAAUAUUCCAAAUCUUUUUUUUUUUUUUUUUUUUUGAGACAGAGUCUUGCUCUUGUCGCCCAGGCUGGAGUGCAGUGGCACGAUCUUGGCUCACUGCAACCUCUGCCUCCUGGGUUCAAGUGAUUCUCAUACCUCAGCAUCCUCAGGAGCUGGGAUUACAGGCGCCCGCCAUCACACCCGGCUAAUUUUUGUAGUUUUAGUAGAGGCAGGGUUUUGCCAUGUUGGCCAGGCUAGUCUCAAACUCCUAACCUCACGUGAUCCACCCGCCUUGGCCUCCCAAAGUGCUGGGAUUACAGGUGUGAGCAGGCCAGGAACUAUUGUGCCAUGGAUAUUGUUGGUAGCCUAUCCAUCUUCUAUGUCCACAUCUGCAGGGGAAGGGGACCCUACCCUCAGCUCCUGGGGUGGUCCCUGGUUGGCACAGUCCAUUCUCCUGAGCACAGUCACAGUCUUCAGAGGGGCACCUGGUACCUGAGCUGUCCAAUCGGGGAGAUUCUUGGGACUCUCACCAGUAAUGUUGGUGUAGACUUGUUUCCUGUUCUUCCUGGAGACCUUGUUGGCCUGACUGAGCCAUCUGGCCACCAGAGUGAGGAUGUGGACAACAUAAAGCAGAGGGCAGAACCGAGGGAACCCCAGAUAAGGGGAGCCAGACCUGGAUUAAGGCAACUCUGAAAGGCAAGACUCUCUGGAUACUUUUUAAGGCACUUGGGGACUAAAAUAAUAGAGAGUCUAACAAAAAAAAUUUAAGAUGUCCAUUAUAUUGUUCAAAGUAUAAAGAAAUAUGGAAACUCCUUUGCUUACAAACUUCCAGCUUCCAAUUAAGCAGAGACCCCAAAGCUAUAGCCCAAAGCAAAAGUAUGUUGCCUUUAGUAGGGGGCACCUGUCGCCGACUCCCAGGAGUGUGGAGUUGGGAACUAGUUGGCAUUUUCAGUUUGUUCUAGAAGUCCAGGACUAUGUAUCUUGUCUUCUUAACCUGAAUGGGAUUCUCCCCAGUUCAGGGAACCAGCUGUGAGCUUUUUUUUUUUUUUUUUUUUGAGACAGGGUCUCACUCUGUUGCCCACGCUGGAGUGCAGUAGUACAAUCAUGGCUCACUGCAGCCUCGACCUUCUGGGCUCAAGCAAUCCUCCUGCCUCAGCCUCCCAAGUAGCUGGGACUACAGGCAUGUGCCAACACGUCCAGCUAAUUUUUGUGUUUUUUGUAGAGAUGGGGUUUCACCUUGUUGCUCAGUCUGGUCUCAGACUCCUGGACUCAAGUGAUCUGCCUGCCUCAGCCUCCAGAAUUGCAGGGAUUACAAGCGUGAGCCACCACACCUGAGUUCUCUCUUAUUGUAAUGAAAGUUUUCAGGGGAUCCACAUUUCAGCUCCCUGUACCCCUGUAAUCACAAGAGGGACCAAUGCUGUAAUGUCCUCUUAGCAAAUAGCCAAGAGCACACAGAUCUGACACACGUGGAAGGUAUUGUGAGGCUGUGUUCUGAAAAGGAAUAGUAAACUAGGAAAAGUUUCUCUUCAAACAAACAAACAAAAACCUGCCCUCUGACAAGCAGGUGCUUCUCUCAGGUUCUUGGCUUCCCAGUUUACUACCUGGCAUAUCUGUAGCAAAUGGUCGCUGAGAACCUGGAAGCAAUUCCUCAUUUGCAAGUCAAUGGCAGAUUUUUUUUUUUUCCUUUUUGAGACAGUCUCGCUUUGUUGCCCAGGCUAGAGUGUAUGGUGUGAUCUCAGCUCACUGCAACCUCAGCCUCCUGGGUUCAAGUGAUCCAUUCUCCUGCCUCAGCCUCCCGAGUAGCUGGGACUACAGGCAUGUGCCACCAUGCCCAGCUAAUUUUUGUAUUUUUAGUAGAAACGGGGUUUUGCCAUGUUGGCCAGGCUGCUCUCGAAUUCCUGACCUCAAGUGAUCCCCUCGCCUUGGCCUCCCAAAAUGCUGGGAUUACAGGCAUGAACCACCACACCGGCCAAUUUUUUGUGGUUUUCGUAGAGACAGGAUUUCAUUACGUUGGCCAAAUUGGUCUCAAACUCCUGUCCUCGUGAUCCACCCGCCUCGGCUCUCCAAAGUGCUGGGGGAUUACAGGCGUGAGCCAAUGCGCCAGGCCAAUAAUCACUGCUGGCAUUCUUGAGUGCCCAUAUGUGCCACACACUGUUUUUGCAAAAAUUAUAACUGAAGAAAUUAUGACAGUGAAAGAGAUCAGACCUAACCAACUCCAUCUUGCUUCUAACCUUUAAGCUGUCCUUGUACAUUCCUGGGCAUAGGCCGAACUAACUUUGGGAAGGAAUUCUGUUCAUGGUUUGACUCCGAAACAAAAUUGAUAACAGCCCUUUUCCAAGGCCCCCUUCUUGCCUGGGGACCAGUCUGCCUUUGCAGGGCUAACACAUUAGCUACAAGAUUAGAAAUUACGGGUUAGUGGUAAUGCAGCCUCUGGCUCCAAGAGUCUGAACCUCCUCAAAUUGCUCCUGGGGAUAACAUCACUAUUGUAAAACCUAAGAUCAGUGCUUGAGAUAUUUUGUAGACCCUGCACUUGAUGGAUCAGCUGACAUCACCCGGACUGGUUAUCUGGCUCAACCUGUUCUGCCAUCCCACCCAGGAACAGAAGACAGUAAGAAAAACUCACUUUGACCCCAUAUGAUUCCAUCUCCAACCUGAUCCAUCAGCACUCCCCACUUCCCGAGCCCCUACCCGCCAAAUUAUCUUUAAAAACUCUGCUCUCCGAAUGCUCCGGGAGACUGAUUUGAGUAAUAAUAAAACUCCAGUCUCCCUCUCCCGCACAGCCAGCUGUGUGUGAAUUACUCUUUCUCCACUGCAAUUCCCCUGUCUUGAUAAAUUAGCUCUGUCUAGGCAGCAGGCAAGGUGAACCCACUGGGCAGUUACAUAUUUACAUUUAUUUAUUUGUUUGUUGAGACAAGGUCUGUCACCCAGCCUGGGGUGCAGUGAUGUGAUCUCUGCUCACUGCAGCCUUGACUUCCCGGGCUCAAGCCAUCCUCCCACCUCAGCCUCCCAAGUAGCUGGGACUACAGGUGCACGACACCAUGCCUGGUUAAUUUUCAUAUUUUUUGUAGAGGUGGGGUUUCACCAUAUUGCCCAGGCUGGCCUCAAACUCCUGGACUCAAGAGAUCCCUCUGCCUCAGCCUCCCAAAGUGCUAGGAUUACAGGCAGGAGCCACCGUUCCCAGCCCUUGCCUUACAUUUAAUCUUCACUAUUAAUACACACAUGUUAUAAAUGAGAGCAUCAAAGUAUGGAGAGCAGAAGCAACUUGUCCAAGGUCAUACGCAACUAGAAAGGAGUGUAACUGAUAUUUAAACCCUAACAGUCUGGUUCCAGAAUCUGUGCUUUUAAAGUCAAGAUGAAAAGCAUGUCUGGGCCUUGACCCUUGGAACCCACCCCUACCACACAGGCUUUAGCUAGCAGAGGGGCAGCAAAGGAAGACAGCAAGAGGUGGCCUCUGGUCGUAGCUCUUUGUGGUUUGCCAAGGCUUUCUGGUUCACUGACUCAAAAGGGUUUGGGGCUUUACAGACUGGUAAGAUCUCCCAAACUGGGUAGUUGUACUUUAAUUUUGUUAAGUAAAAACAUUUUUAAAAAUCUGCUAACAUCACUAUCAUUUCAUAAAGUAAAUGUAAUUUCAAUGCAAAUAAACCCCAAGAAAGACACAAUCUCAGAGUACAGUCCAGGCCUUUAGGUUGAAUAAAUCUACCUUUGUAAACACCUCCUUUCGUUGUCCUGAUUUUCCUCAUCUCACCGUGGGCUGGUGAAAACGUCCUCAUGUGUAGCACCUGUUUAAGGACUGCCAUCCAGGAACCACUGUGGUACUUCAUACGAUCCCCAUAAACCCUCUGCAAGGUAGACAGGGAAAGUCUUGUUUACCCCACUCUACUAACGAAGAAAUCGAGGCUCAGAGAAGUCUUGUUUAAGGACACACAGCCUGAAAAAUGGCAGGGCCAGGUUACAAACCCAUGUUUUCAGACUGCAGGGGUCCAGUGCUCUUUCCUUCUAUACCUCAAAGCGUUCACAAAAUGCACUCACUGACCACUGGCUUGGUUGCUGUGUGAGGACCUAAAUGUUCAGAAAGAGAAGAAGCAUUUCCAAGUGCCAUUUCCAUUGAAUGGAGUAGUGCAGCUGGCUGAAAGGUAGCCCCUGGAUUCAGGGCGAGAUGGGAAGCCCCUCAGGGGCAAGGUCGGAGUACAUUUCCUCUUUCAUUCCCGGGCUCAGCCCACACAGGGAUGAGCAUACGGGGCUGGCAACAAGUCCUUGCAGCUUAGAAGUGUGAGUGUGGUUUCUAUUUAUUUAUUUUUAAUUAAGAAAUUUUUUUUUAGAGACAGGGUCUUGCCAUGUAGUCCAGGCUGGUCUCAAACUCCUGGGCUCAAGCUCUCCUCUCACUUCGUCCUCCCAAAGUGCUGGGAUUACAGGCGAGAGCCACUGGGCCUGACUGGAGUAUGCUUUUUUUGGUUUGUUUUUGAGACGAAGUCUUGCGCUGUCCCCCAGGCUGAAGUUCAGUGGUGUGAUCUCAGCUCACUGCAACCUCCACCUCCCGGAUUCAAGCGAUUCUCCUGCCUCAGCCUCCUGAGCAGCUGGGAUUACAGGCAUGUGCCACCAUGCUCAGCUAUUUUUCAUUAUUUUUAGUAGAGACGAGGUUUCACCAUACUGGCCAGGCUGGUCUCGAACUCCUGACCUCAGGUGAUCCGCCCACCUCAGCCUCCCAAAAUGCUGGGAUUACAGGUGUGAGCCACUGAACCUGCCCUGGAGUAUGGUUUUAAAUGCUAGUUUUUAUCUAACAGAAUUUUACUGUGGUAAGAAGGGAGGAAGAAAAAAAAUCCCAGACUUAAUUUGAGAGGAUGUUACUGGGAGUUGGGAGAAAAGGAUGAAAUCCAGAGAAGACUUGAUGGAGGCACCCUGGGCAGUGAGGGGAGGAGGGAGGCAGCAAAAGGGGCCUUAUCCCUGAAGGAGGACAGCUGGCAGGGAGGCAGGAGCAUUGUCUGUGGUGUCCCACUGUCUUAGGAUCAAGACCACACCCCUGAUAUUGCCCCCCAGUGCCUAAGGCCUUGCCCUGCCUACUGCCCUAGUGUCACCUGCACUACUCUUGUUCUGGGUUUCUGAGCUCCAGACACAUUUCCUUAAAGAUAUCCCCAUGGGACCCCACCUCGGGGCCUUUUUGUUUUUUUGUUUGUUUGUUGUUUUUUUUUUUUGGCAGGGUCUUGCUCUGUUGUCUAGGCUGGAGUGUAGUGGCACAAUCACAGUUCACUGCAGCCUCUACGUCCUGGGCUCAGGCAAUCCUCCAUCUCAGCCUCCUGAGUGGCUGAGACUACAGGUGCACACUGCUAUACCCAGCUAUUUUUUUUUUUUUUUUGUAGAGACAGGGUUUUGCCAUGUUGCCCAGGCUGGUCUCGAACUCCUGGGCUCAAGCCAUCCUCCUGCCUCGGCUUCCCAAAGUGCUGGGAUUACAGGUGUGAGCCACUGUGCCGGGCCCACCUCAGAGCCUUUGAGCAUGGCAUUCCCGCUCCUGGGUUUCCACCAGUACUUACUAAUGCCUAUUCAUCUUUUGGUGACUUCCCUGACUCCUAUCUACCAGCUGGAGGCGUAGACAGCCCAGAGCCACAUCAGCCCACUUCCAGAAGCAGUGAGCAUUUCAAUGUCCACAGUGUGCACAGGCCCCAGGGGCAGUGGCUUCACCAGGAGGUGCUCAUGAAGCCCACAGUAGCACCAAGGAGCACUCCUUAUCUUGUCCUGGAUGGAGUCAGCACCCUGAGCCUUCCCUUCAGAUCCUUGUUAUAGUCUGCAAUUACGUAUCUGGGUGAUUGUUUCAUUAAUGUCCUUCUCCCAACUAAAUAGUCAGCUUCCUUUUUGUUGGCCAUGGUAUCUGCAGCCUAGCACGGACCCAGAGGCCUGGACGGUGCCCGCUAAGUGUUUGUGGAAUGGCUUCCUUCCUUGUUUUGCCAAGGGGUGCCAGAAUGUGCCACUGGCAUUUGCUUUUCAUUUACACUAUUCUUGUGGCUAGGGUGGAGUGGGUUGGAGGUCAUGGCCAUCUCUAGAGAGCUGUUCCAAGACUACUUGAGCUUGUGUUUUCUUCCCAGCCCAAGAUUCAGAAUCCACUGGCCUUGAGUUCGCCCUGUCCUGGGGACAGUGGGACCUGUCACCUGCUGGCCAAGGUAGGGCUCCAACUUUGUGAAAAGUACAUGCGGCAGGUCUGACCCUUAAACAACUCUUCUGACGUGUGGAAUGCAGGGCUGGGUGGGAGCAGCCGGCACACCUGUCAUUCACUGUUUAGCCACUGAAGGGCAGUGUUGCUCCACAGGAAGGGGCCAGGCAGAUGUGCGCCAUCACUGUGGCUCCCAGGUCGGAAUGAGGAUAUUUUAGCUAGUCCCUACCAAGCACCACUGGUGUGCUAGUCACUUUGAAUAUAGUACUCGUGCAAUCAUGCAAGAGAAAGUUGAUGACCCGUAGUGUAGUGUGGUGUAGUGUGGUGUAGUGUAGUGUAGUGUAGUGUAGUGUAGUGUAGUGUAGUGUGUAGUGUAGUGUAGUGUAGUGUGUAGUGUAGUGUAGUGUAGUUUUUGAGACAGGGUCUCACUGUUGUCCAGGCUGGAAUAUAGUGAUCAGGGCUCACUGCAGCCUUGACCUCCGGGGCUCAAGUAAUCCUCCCGCCUUAGCCUCCCAAAUAACUGGGACUACAGGUGCACACCACUACACUUGGCUAAUUUUUGUAUUUUUUUUGUAAAGAUUGGCGGGGGGGGGGGGGUCUCACUGUGUUGCCUAGGCUGGUCUCGAACUCCAGGGCUCAAGUGAUUCUCCUGCCUCAGCCUCCCAAAGUACUGGGAUUACAGGUGUGAGCCAGCACACCCAGCUGACCCUUAUUUUAAAGAUGAAGUAAAGAAAAUCGGAGAGAUUAAAUGAUGUUUUCAAUGUUUCAUGACUAGUAAAUGGCUAAGCCAGAAAUCAACCUCAGGUCUGCCUAAAUCCCAAACCCCGUCAGUGCCUUCACCUGCUCUCCCUUUGUCACGAUGGCCAAUCUUUUCUAGCAUGUCUUCCUAGCAGCCACCUGCCAGGGUAGUGCUGAGUGCACAACCUUGUCUCACUCAGCUGGCUCAAUUUAGCCAACUUUUGAUUACCGAAAUUAAUACAGGGGUCACUGACUUGGGUCUAAAAUUUUAAAAUGGGUUAUUAAAAUGCUUGCUUUGGCCAGGCGCAGUGGCUCAUGCCUAUAAUCCCAGCACUUUGAGAGGCUGAGGCAAGAGGAUCAUUUGAGGUCAGGAGCUCGAAACCAGCCAGCCAACAUGGUGAAACCUAAUCUAUACUAAAAAUACAAAAAUUAGACAGGUGUGGUGACACUCACCUCUAGUCCCAGCUGCUCGGGAGGUUGAGGCAGGAGAAUCACUUGAACCCAGGAGGCAGAGGUUGCAGUGAGCCGAGAUUAUGCCACUGCACUCCAGCCUGGGUGACAGAUUGAGACACUGUCUUGAAAAACAAAAUAAAAUAAAAUGCUUGUUUUGAUUCUAGAGACUGUUAUUCGGUAUGCAUGGGAUAGGGGGAGGAGGGAAAACAGAUUUGUCCUUCCAUAGUCCUCUCUCUGAUCUCAUUCUGCAAUCUUUCCUCCCCCUUCCCCACCCAGCCCUCACACAGCUGCCAGGCAGCUUUCCAACAGAUUUGAUCAGAUGGCUCUCUCACUACUGUACUGGGCCCCCUGUAGCUUCUGGAAGAAAGUCCCACUCCUUAGCAAGCAGCCCAGGUGCUUCCUAAGCUGCCAGCUACCUUGCCGCCAGACUUCUUCCCCACUGGCUUACGAGGGUGCACUGUCAGCCCCAGCCCCCUGAGCCACAGCAUUCAGUAUCUAAAGCUGUAAUCUCUCCACUGCAGAGUGAGAAUGAAGAUACUGGCCACCCAGGUGGUUGUAAGGCUAAAACCACCACCUUUAAAGAUCGCUUGGCACAGUGCUGGCCACAGUGGGGCUCAUCACCACGUUUCUCACCUUCCCUUCCUCAGCCCUUGGAAAUGUGCAAGUAUAGUACAACCUACAAAGGCAAAUCCAUGUGGUAUAGUGCUCUGCACAGUGCAAUCCCUGUGUAAACAUUUCUAGACACAGAAAUGUCAGCUGGGGCAUUAUUUUGCUCAGGCUGACACUGAGGAAGACAUUUCCUGGAUUUUUUUCCUGUGCCCAUGGUGAGGUCCAAAGUGACCCAAAUACCACCUAAAUCCCUGGAUGCUAAACUCCUUGAGGGCAGAGACAGAGUUAUGAACCUCUGGGUCUCCCCAUAGGUCCAACCCAGCACUAGGUCUUCAGUGGCGUCUCUAAGAAUGUCAGUUGGUCAAUUUGUUAUUCAAUGGGCACAUGACAAGUUGCAGGAGUGCACAGGUGCUUUCAGGGUAUCAUCAUCUCAAACAGAAACAGCAUUGUUUCAAAGAGCCUGUAGGAGUCCAGAAGAAAUACAGGACUUUCUUCUUCCUUUUGCAAAAGCUGGCAGUUUAAAGCCACAGGGCAUUAGAUCAAGAAUGCCAUGAGGCUGACCAGUGAGGGGCUUGACUUUGAGGGCUCUGGGCUGGUUGGGCUGGCCAUGCUUACACUUGGAAAGCAGUAGGACCCAUUCCCUGGUUUUGAGCAUUCAAAGUAGCCUUGGCUUACUCUCUGCUCUGAGUUCUCACUUCAGUCUUCCUAUUCUGAGGUUCAAAGAACUGCAAAUAGUCCUCAGACAAAGCCUGUGGGGUGUCUCCCCAGAUUCCAGGAACUCUCCAAAUCAGAUAGACCAGGAUUAUGAAACUCAGCCUCUUCUAUGAAGGGUCCCACUGGAUCCCAUAAUAAGUGGGAAUUCUACCCUCAGCCCAGACUCUCCGGACUCCAGCCCAAUCUCAGUCUUAACCUCAGGGUUCCAGCUUUCCUCCGUCCAUUGCCACAUCAAACUCACCUGUUCUGGGUUUGCAUGUCAGGUACAUUUUCUGAUCAAUAUGCAUUUGCCUAUUCCUAUUCUGUGACUAAGGUAUUCCUUGGGUAUUGAUGGGUCUGCCUGCGUGUGUUCUCAAAUCUAAAGUCAUCAGCUACCCUUUGAACAUUGUAAGCAUGUUAUAUACAGGUUAUUUUUGCCUUUAGUUAUCUCAGUAACAUUAUAUUCCAUGUUAUAUGGCAUUUAAACUAUCUGGGUGGUCUUGUAUAUAAUACUUUACUUCCUUCAGAACCACAGGAAAAACUAAUUGCUAUUACUUCUGUGAGAGAUGGGGAUUCUCAAGGGACUUGCCCGUCAGUUUACAAAGUAGUGAUGGGGCUGGGCGUGGUGGCUAAUGCCUGUAAUCCCAGCACUUUGGGAGGCUGAGGCGGGCGGAUCGUUUGAGAUCAGGAGUUCCAGAUCAGACUGACCAGCAUGGGUAAACUCCAUCUCUACUAAAAAUACAAAAAUUAGCUGGGUGUGGUGGCGCAUGACUGUAAUCCCAGCUACUCAGGAGGCUGAGGCAUGAGAAUCACCUGAACCCGGAGGCAGAGGUUGCAGUGAGCUGAGAUUGCACCACUGUACUCCAGCCUGGGCAACAGAGGGAGACUCUGUCUCAAAAAAAAAAAAAAAAAAAAAAAGGAGCAAAGCCUCUGGCUCUUGUGUCAGCAGUCUCACCAGCCAGGGCUCUGUUUGUGUUCUGUAGUAGCCCCCACAGGGCUACAGGCGAAUAUAUUGCAGUUGCAGCCAGUAAGGAUGAUGCAACUGAGAAAGGCUGGCGGGCAGGUGGGUGCAGCCGGGGAUGGCCAGGGAUAGCCAGCCAGGCAGGGAACUCCUGAGCUGAGACUGCUGAAAGAUGGAUACUUCUGGGCCCCAGAAACAGCUCUUGGCUCCCAAAUACCCUCUCAGCUUCCUGAAAACCUCUAAAUAGCUAGGCGCAGUGGCUCAUGCCUGUAAUCCCAGCACUCUGGGAGGCUGAGGCAGGCGGAUCACUUGAGACCAGGAGUUCAAGACAAGCCUGGCCAACAUGGUGAAACCCCAUCUCUACUAAAAAUACAAAAAUUAGUUGGCCAUGGUGGCACGCACCUGUAAUCCCAGCUACUCGGGAGUCUGAGGCAGGAGAAUCACUUGAACCCAGGAGGCAGAAGUUGCAGUGAGCCGAGAUUGUGCCAUUGCACUCCAGCCUGGUCGUCAGAGUGAGACUCCGUCUCAAACAAAAAACAAGAAACAAAAAACAAGCCUCUAAAUAGGGAAUAAAUCUUUACAGUUCAAGUUGACAGACCUGGGUGCAAAUCCCAGCUGGGCUCCUCACUGGCUGUGUGAACUUGGGCAGGAUACCUAACCUCUCUGAAAUUUUGUUUAAUCAUAUGUUUUU
This 13600-nucleotide long non-coding RNA is filed under the name Homo sapiens (human). RNAcentral's name for it is "non-protein coding lnc-CALM2-2:16". The record is from RNAcentral. Lineage: Eukaryota; Metazoa; Chordata; Mammalia; Primates; Hominidae.